RNAcentral lists this ribosomal RNA (495 nucleotides) under uncultured bacterium. RNAcentral's name for it is "partial 16S ribosomal RNA". It matches the Rfam family "Bacterial small subunit ribosomal RNA", at positions 28 to 507 of the family's 1533-position model. The record is from RNAcentral.
GACGAACGCUGGCGGCGUGCCUAAUACAUGCAAGUAGAACGCUGAAGGAGGAGCUUGCUUCUCUGGAUGAGUUGCGAACGGGUGAGUAACGCGUAGGUAACCUGCCUGGUAGCGGGGGAUAACUAUUGGAAACGAUAGCUAAUACCACAUAAUAGUAGAUGUUGCAUGACAUUUGCUUAAAAGGUGCAAUUGCAUCACUACCAGAUGGACCUGCGUUGUAUUAGCUAGUUGGUGGGGUAACGGCUCACCAAGGCGACGAUACAUAGCCGACCUGAGAGGGGGGUCGGCCACACUGGGACUGAGACACGGCCCAGACUCCUACGGGAGGCAGCCGUAGGGAAUCUUCGGCAAUGGGCGGAAGUCUGACCGAGCAACGCCGCGUGAGUGAAGAAGGUUUUCGGAUCGUAAAGCUCUGUUGUAAGAGAAGAACGAGUGUGGGAGUGGAAAGUUCACACUGUGACGGUAUCUUACCAGAAAGGGACGGCUAACUACGUG